CAGUGAGGAAUAUUGAGCAAUGGGCGCAAGCCUGACUCAGCAACGCCGCGUGGACGAUGACGGCCUUCGGGUUGUAAAGUCCUUUUCUGAGGGACGAUGAUGACGGUACCUCAGGAACAAGUCCCGGCUAACUACGUGCCAGCAGCCGCGGUAAAACGUAGGGGCGAGCGUUAUCCGGAUUUACUGGGCGUAAAGCGCAUGUAGGCGGUGGGGUAAGUUAGACGUGAAAGCUCCCGGCUUAACUGGGAGAGGUCGUUUGAAACUGCCCGACUGGAGGUUGGAAGAGGAGAGUGGAAUUCCCGGUGUAGUGGUGGAAUGCGUAGAUAUCGGGAGGAACACCAGUGGCGAAAGCGGCUCUCUGGACCAAUACUGACGCUGAGAUGCGAAAGCGUGGGGAGCAAACGGGAUUAGAUACCCCGGUAGUCCACGCUGUAAACGAUGGAGACUAGGUGUCGGCGGUCAUUUACCCCGUCGGUGCCGCAGCUAACGCGUUAAGUCUCCCGCCUGGGGACUACGGCCGCAAGGUUA
Molecule: ribosomal RNA, 528 nt
Filed under: uncultured bacterium
Lineage: Bacteria
Description: bacterial SSU rRNA
Rfam family: Bacterial small subunit ribosomal RNA
Source: RNAcentral